UACGUAGGGUGCGAGCGUUGUCCGGAAUUAUUGGGCGUAAAGGGCUCGUAGGCGGUUUGUCGCGUCGGGAGUGAAAACCCAGGGCUUAACCCUGGGCUGGCUUCCGAUACGGGCAGACUAGAGGUAUGCAGGGGAGAACGGAAUUCCUGGUGUAGCGGUGAAAUGCGUAGAUAUCGUUUGGAACGCCAAAGGUGAAAACAGACAGCUGGGAGUGUGCUGACGCUGAGACACGAAAGCCAGGGGAGCGAACGGG
RNAcentral lists this ribosomal RNA (253 nucleotides) under uncultured bacterium. RNAcentral's name for it is "partial 16S ribosomal RNA". It matches the Rfam family "Bacterial small subunit ribosomal RNA", at positions 524 to 776 of the family's 1533-position model. The record is from RNAcentral.